UACGUAGGGGGCGAGCGUUAUCCGGAUUUACUGGGUGUAAAGGGAGCGUAGACGGCCAUGCAAGCUCGGUGUGAAAGGUGCGGGCACAACCCGCAGACUGCACUGAGAACUGUAUGGCUGGAGUGCCGGAGGGGCAGGCGGAAUUCCUGGUGUAGCGGUGAAAUGCGUAGACAUCAGGAGGAACACCGGUGGCGAAGGCGGCCUGCUGGACGGCGACUGACGUUGAGGCUCGAAAGCGUGGGGAGCGAACAGG
RNAcentral lists this ribosomal RNA (253 nucleotides) under uncultured bacterium. Its description in RNAcentral is "partial 16S ribosomal RNA". It matches the Rfam family "Bacterial small subunit ribosomal RNA", at positions 524 to 776 of the family's 1533-position model. The record is from RNAcentral.